CAACCCUCAAGCCCCCGUGGCUUGGUGUUGGGGAUCGGCCGCAGCCUUCACGGCAGGCGGCCGGCCCCGAAAUCUAGUGGCGGUCUCGCUGUAGUCCCCCUCUGCGUAGUAAUACACCUCGCACUGGAAGCUCGGCCUGACCACGCCGUAAAACCCCCCACUUCUGAA
This 168-nucleotide unclassified non-coding RNA is filed under the name uncultured Nectriaceae. RNAcentral describes it as "sequence contains ITS2". Lineage: Eukaryota; Fungi; Ascomycota; Sordariomycetes; Hypocreales; Nectriaceae. The record is from RNAcentral.